UACGUAGGUGGCUAGCGUUGUCCGGAUUUACUGGGCGUAAAGAGCGCGUAGGCGGUCGUUCAAGUCGAGUGUGAAAGCCCCCGGCUCAACUGGGGAGGGUCACUCGAUACUGAUCGACUCGAAGGCAGGAGAGGGAAGCGGAAUUCCCGGUGUAGUGGUGAAAUGCGUAGAUAUCGGGAGGAACACCAGUGGCGAAGGCGGCUUUCUGGCCUGUUCUUGACGCUGAGGAGCGAAAGCGUGGGGAGCGAACAGG
This 253-nucleotide ribosomal RNA is filed under the name uncultured bacterium. RNAcentral describes it as "partial 16S ribosomal RNA". It matches the Rfam family "Bacterial small subunit ribosomal RNA", at positions 524 to 776 of the family's 1533-position model. The record is from RNAcentral.